This 1532-nucleotide long non-coding RNA is filed under the name Daphnia pulex (common water flea). RNAcentral's name for it is "uncharacterized LOC124203250, transcript variant X2". The record is from RNAcentral. Lineage: Eukaryota; Metazoa; Arthropoda; Branchiopoda; Diplostraca; Daphniidae.
UUAAUUCUAUUAAACCUUUUUAUCGUUCUAUCUAAUUAAAACUGCGAUGUAUUUACUAUCGAUUUCUAAGUAUCGAUAGUAAGUCUGGGUGGCGUGGGUGCAGACAACAGAAUUUGUUUAUUUACGUUUUUUAAACGAUGACGUAUUUAGACGAAAGAGCUGUGCAGAAGCUCUGUAGGCAUUAGUUACGAAUAAAACUUUGGUUGGGCUUAUUGGCCCCCGGGGGCCAAUAGCCAAAAGUGCUAUUGGCCCCCGGAUUCCGGGGGAAAGCUAUUUGCCCCGGCCGCUAGGGGGCCUACGGGGAAGGGCCGCGCCUACCAGCAGGCUUUUGACAAUUGACACCAACAUGGUCUCCACGUAAGUACGGGCAUGUCCGUACCAAAAAACCGUCGCAUUUCUAGCCUUCUCAUUGGCUCACAGGCUUCAGAGGGACCAGCCAGUAUACAGUUGCUUUUUAGUAUCAUUCCUGUUUAUUCAAGUGCAACUGUCAGAUGAAAAGCAUCACCUAGAUGACGCUCGUCAGGGUGUUGUGUAUGGGGAGAUUUUGCAGCCCUUGUUUACAUUUUUUAAACGAUGACGUCUUUCGACGAAAGAGUUGCAGAAGCUCUGCAGGCAUUAGUUACGCCUGCAACUUUUGAAGGGAUUGUUACGCAGCUUGAAGAAAACAACAAGAGAAGCAACGUACAACAACUUUAAUCGAUCAACGAGUAAGAAUCAAUAAACCAAGGGAAAUCUAGUGCUUUACGAGUCAACCUGAGCUGGCCUGAGGAGGGAGAGUGGAUCCUAUCAAGAAUAAGGCUCAAGAGAAGUAUCUUAAUAUGCUUAUAGACCUUGGAACGGAAGACCCAUAAUCCUAAGAAGUCAGACGGUGGAAAUCCUUGCAAUCAGACUAAGCGAUUAUAUAGUCUACAUGACAAGCAUGAGGCCAAUUCUCGUGCAGUGUCAAAGGGUGCUUUAUGAUGGAGGUGCUGAAAUCCCGGGUAGCUAAAUUCAGUGAUAGCAGCAAAGCGCGCUUGGUUAAAAAUCAUCCAAAAGAAGGCGCGUAUCGACAAGAUCAUUGGAUCUUCUCAAUGAGAAGGAUGUUAUCGUGACGCAACCAGAUUUAGAUAGUGGUGAAUUCCCGUGACACACACUUGGUGCAGUUCCUUUGAUCUAGUACUAUGCGGUCAUUGACGCACAGAUGUUAAGGCUGCGAUAUAAGGAAGCAAUUCUUCAAAACCAGAACAAGAUCGCCAUAUUUCAUUGCUUCUCCGCCCGCUGAAUCUCCGUUCUCACAAGUGACGCUUUCACGGAUGGGUUUACGGAAAAGGAAGAAGAAAUAUUGGACGAAUUGGGGUCCGGUGUAGAGGAGUUUGAAGACGAAGGAGACUUUGGAUAUGCCACUUGAAGCGCCAUUUAGAAGAUUGCGAUUCGCAUUCGGACGCCUUAGCCUUAGAUGAGCUCACGUCUACUCCAUCAACAAAUUACUAUGAUUUUCUUAUGAAAGUCUGUAAUGCAUGAACCAAUUUAUUCAAUACAAAUAUUAAACUGAA